ACUUCACGAGGACCUCUGCUGGUGUCUCCUCUGCUGUCCUGGAGGUCCCAGAGGACAGGAGCUGUGUCCUGUGACCUGCUGACCGCAACGCGUAGCACCUGGAAGGAACACCUAUGCUGCAUGAGUCAGAAGCAAGUAUCAGAAGAUGAUGGAUCUCAUUACUUAGAGAAAAGAAGGCCUCAAACCCAUUGCACAUGGGUAGGGAGGAUGAAAAGAAACACCCACAGAGUUAAGCCACAACACUGGGAAAACUGAUGGAUUUGUGAACAUGGGAGAUGAACUUGACAAAGACUCCAGAUGCACCAGGAGUGGGAUAUGAAUGGGAAGGAUGGCCCUCCAGACAGCUGGCAGAGGACUUCCCCUUUAGGGCAAAACACAUGGUUGAAAUUUACCAGCUAAGAUCCCAAAGGGGAGUGAAGAAGCCGGCUGGGGUUGGAGAGCACCCUCUUCUGAACUGAGGAAAUUGAACAU
RNAcentral lists this long non-coding RNA (471 nucleotides) under Homo sapiens (human). RNAcentral describes it as "HSALNT0060023". The record is from RNAcentral. Lineage: Eukaryota; Metazoa; Chordata; Mammalia; Primates; Hominidae.